Molecule: long non-coding RNA, 319 nt
Filed under: Volvox carteri
Lineage: Eukaryota; Viridiplantae; Chlorophyta; Chlorophyceae; Chlamydomonadales; Volvocaceae
Description: long non-coding RNA (VCAR_LNC004070)
Source: RNAcentral
UGGGAAUAAGCAACGGAGUAGCAGCGGCAGCGACGAAGGUGGGGCUGGUAGAUGCAUUAGUCUCAACAGCAGGCGCGGCGGUGGCGGGAUAUAGCAACGGAGUAGCAGCGGCAGCGACGAAGGUGGGGCUGGGAGAUGCAUUAGUCUCAACAGCAGGCGCGGCGGCGGUGGGAAUAAGCAACGGAGUAGCAGCGGCAGCGACGAAGGUGGGGCUGGUAGAUGCAUUAGUCUCAACAGCAGGCGCGGCGGCGGCGGGAAAUAGCAACGGAGUAGCAGCGGCAGCGACGAAGGUGGGGCUGGGAGGUGCAUUAGUCUAAAC